GCCACCUUAGCUCAGCUGGUAGAGCAGCGGAUUUGUAACCCGCAGGUCGUCGGUUCGACUCCGACAGGUGGCUCCA
This 76-nucleotide transfer RNA is filed under the name bacterium. RNAcentral's name for it is "tRNA-Thr". It matches the Rfam family "tRNA". From Rfam's summary of the family: Transfer RNA (tRNA) molecules are approximately 80 nucleotides in length. Their secondary structure includes four short double-helical elements and three loops (D, anti-codon, and T loops). Further hydrogen bonds mediate the characteristic L-shaped molecular structure. tRNAs have two regions of fundamental functional importance: the anti-codon, which is responsible for specific mRNA codon recognition, and the 3' end, to which the tRNAs corresponding amino acid is attached (by aminoacyl-tRNA synthetases). tRNAs cope with the degeneracy of the genetic code in two manners: having more than one tRNA (with a specific anti-codon) for a particular amino acid; and 'wobble' base-pairing, i.e. permitting non-standard base-pairing at the 3rd anti-codon position. The record is from RNAcentral. RNAcentral also lists the same sequence under 1 other name.